This 27-nucleotide non-coding RNA is filed under the name Rattus norvegicus (Norway rat). The record is from RNAcentral. Lineage: Eukaryota; Metazoa; Chordata; Mammalia; Rodentia; Muridae.
UAAGUCGAGAAAAGUUUGUGGAGUAGG